Molecule: non-coding RNA, 103 nt
Filed under: Xylella fastidiosa Dixon
Lineage: Bacteria; Pseudomonadati; Pseudomonadota; Gammaproteobacteria; Lysobacterales; Lysobacteraceae
Description: traJ-II RNA
Rfam family: traJ-II RNA
Source: RNAcentral
GGGCAGGAUAUGUGAAGUAGGCCCACCGGAAAUCCGGUGUUCCUUCUUCACUUUCCCUUAUUCGCACCUUCGGUACUCAACGGGAAUCCUGCUCUGCGAGGCU